UCGAGGAUCUUCGGCAAUGGGCGAAAGCCUGACCGAGCGACGCCGCGUGUGCGAUGAAGGCCUUCGGGUUGUAAAGCACUGUCGUGGAGGAGAAAGACCGCAAGGUUUGAUCGACUCCAGGAGGAAGCUCGGGCUAAGUUCGUGCCAGCAGCCGCGGUAAGACGAACCGAGCGAACGUUAUUCGGAAUCACUGGGCUUAAAGGGCGCGUAGGCGGACUGCCAAGUCAGGGGUGAAAGCCCGCGGCUCAACCGCGGAAGUGCCUUUGAUACUGGCGGUCUCGAGGGAGGUAGGGGCGUGCGGAACUUCCGGUGGAGCGGUGAAAUGCGUAGAUAUCGGAAGGAACACCGGUGGCGAAAGCGGCGCGCUGGACCUCUUCUGACGCUGAGGCGCGAAAGCCAGGGGAGCGAACGGGAUUAGAUACCCGUGUAGUCC
Molecule: ribosomal RNA, 433 nt
Filed under: uncultured bacterium
Lineage: Bacteria
Description: bacterial SSU rRNA
Rfam family: Bacterial small subunit ribosomal RNA
Source: RNAcentral